Molecule: ribosomal RNA, 229 nt
Filed under: uncultured bacterium
Lineage: Bacteria
Description: partial 16S ribosomal RNA
Rfam family: Bacterial small subunit ribosomal RNA
Source: RNAcentral
CAUGUAGGCGGUCAAUCAAGUCAGUUGUGAAAGUCCUGGGCUUAACCCAGGAAGUGCAUCUGAAACUGUUUGGCUAGAGUACAGGAGAGGAAGGUGGAAUUCCUGGUGUAGAGGUGAAAUUCGUAGAUAUCGGGAAGAACACCGGUGGCGAAGGCGGCCUUCUGGCCUGAUACUGACGCUGAGAUGCGAAAGCGUGGGGAGCAAACAGGAUUAGAUACCCUGGUAGUCC